GUUCUUACUUGGGCAAAACAUACACUAAAAUUGGAACCAUACAGAGAAGGUUAGCAUGGUCCCUGUGUAAAAAUGACUUGUAAAUUCAAAAAGUGUUCCAUAUUUUU
Phyllostomus hastatus (greater spear-nosed bat) is the source of this 107-nucleotide small nuclear RNA. NCBI's taxonomy places the organism in Eukaryota, Metazoa, Chordata, Mammalia, Chiroptera, Phyllostomidae. The record is from RefSeq and is a predicted model, not a curated record.